AGAUCAACCUUGUGAACUUUAGUUCUCCAUGAAAUCGUCUAAGCAAUAUUGUAUCAUCAAAAUUCAGAAUAAGAUUAUUGUAGUAGUGAAAGACCUAAUAUAAUAAAAGUUAAAUUUGGGUCCUUAUGGGAUCCGACCCAAAAAUUACAAAAAAUAGUCAAAACUAACUAUUUUAAUUAAGUCUGGAACUUCAACGAAUUAUUCAACUCUUCUUCACUCUGAAUCUGCUUUUAACUUCAACAUAAAACUUGUAUCUCUCUCUCUCUCU
This 268-nucleotide long non-coding RNA is filed under the name Lathyrus oleraceus (garden pea). Its description in RNAcentral is "Pisum sativum (pea) long non-coding RNA (PSAT_LNC013835)". Lineage: Eukaryota; Viridiplantae; Streptophyta; Magnoliopsida; Fabales; Fabaceae. The record is from RNAcentral.